AUUGAACGCUGGCGGAAUGCUUUACACAUGCAAGUCGAACGGCAGCACGGGUGCUUGCACCUGGUGGCGAGUGGCGAACGGGUGAGUAAUACAUCGGAACGUACCCUGACGUGGGGGAUAACGUAGCGAAAGUUACGCUAAUACCGCAUACGUCCUGAGGGAGAAAGCAGGGGAUCGUAAGACCUUGCGCGUUAGGAGCGGCCGAUGGCGGAUUAGCUAGUUGGAAGGGUAAAGGCCUACCAAGGCGACGAUCCGUAGCGGGUCUGAGAGGGCGACCCGCCACACUGGAGCUGAGACACGGUCCAGACUCCUACGGGAGGCAGCAGUGGGGAAUUUUGGACAAUGGGCGAAAGCCUGAUCCAGCCAUUCCGCGUGAGUGAAGAAGGCCUUCGGGUUGUAAAGCUCUUUCGGCAGGGAAGAAACGGUUUUGGAUAAUACCCAGAACUAAUGACGGUACCUGAAGAAGAAGCACCGGCUAACUACGUGCCAGCAGCCGCAGUAA
RNAcentral lists this ribosomal RNA (502 nucleotides) under uncultured bacterium. RNAcentral describes it as "partial 16S ribosomal RNA". It matches the Rfam family "Bacterial small subunit ribosomal RNA", at positions 29 to 523 of the family's 1533-position model. The record is from RNAcentral.